GAUGAACGCUGGCGGCGUGCUUAACACAUGCAAGUCGAACGGACUUUACAUGAAGCCUAGCGAAUGUAAAGUUAGUGGCGGACGGGUGAGUAACGCGUGAAUAACCUGCCUUAUACUGGGGGACAACAGUUGGAAACGACUGCUAAUACCGCAUAAGCGCACGGUGCUGCAUGGCGCAGUGUGAAAAACUCCGGUGGUAUAAGAUGGAUUCGCGUCUGAUUAGCUAGUUGGUGAGGUAACGGCUCACCAAGGCGACGAUCAGUAGCCGGCCUGAGAGGGUGAACGGCCACAUUGGGACUGAGACACGGCCCAA
RNAcentral lists this ribosomal RNA (313 nucleotides) under uncultured bacterium. RNAcentral describes it as "bacterial SSU rRNA". It matches the Rfam family "Bacterial small subunit ribosomal RNA", at positions 28 to 334 of the family's 1533-position model. The record is from RNAcentral.